CCUACGGUCGGCAGCAGUGAGGAAUAUUGGUUAAUGGCCGGAAGGCUGAACCAGCCAUGCCGCGUGAAGGUCAGUGCCCUAUGGGCGUUAAACUUCUUUUGUGCGGGAGCAAUAAUGGUCACGUGUGGCCAGACGAGAGUACCGUACGAAUAAGCAUCGGCUAACUCCGUGCCAGCAGCCGCGGUAAUACGGGGGAUGCAAGCGUUAUCCGGAUGUAUUGGGUUUAAAGGGUGCGUAAGCUGUGAGGUAAGUCAGCGGUGAAAUGCCCCCGCUCAACGGGGUGAAGUGCCAUUGAUACUGCCUUGCUGGAAUGCGGAUGCCGUGGGAGGAAUGUGUGGUGUAGCGGUGAAAUGCAUAGAUAUCACACAGAACACCGAGUGCGAAGGCAUCUCACGAAUCCGCGAUUGACGCUGAUGCACGAAAGCGUGGGUAUCAAACAGGAUUAGAUACCCCAGUAGUC
Molecule: ribosomal RNA, 460 nt
Filed under: uncultured bacterium
Lineage: Bacteria
Description: partial 16S ribosomal RNA
Rfam family: Bacterial small subunit ribosomal RNA
Source: RNAcentral